Molecule: long non-coding RNA, 8347 nt
Organism: Lethenteron reissneri (Far Eastern brook lamprey)
Lineage: Eukaryota; Metazoa; Chordata; Hyperoartia; Petromyzontiformes; Petromyzontidae
Source: RefSeq, a predicted model, not a curated record
UUGACUUGGGGAACUUUGCCGCGUGUAGGUGCGCAGCUAAAGGGACACUCGCCCCCUUACGCGCGCGGAGCCGUGCACGACAGGCAGACUUAGCAAGCAGCAGCGAUGCUAAACUCGAGCGAUUGACGAAGAUUCCUUCAACGCAAGCUCGGUCCGAACUCGUUUUGUUUUUGUCAUUGUGCGCGACCAUCGGACCCUCUCCAUACAGUUGGGGGUUGUUGGCCGUUCACGCACGGACCCACUGACGCGAUGGAGAAUUACUCGCCUCUGCAAUUUAGGUCGGCGAAGUGCUACCAGAUUCAUGGAAACAAACACAGCUUAAGCGACAUCGUAAUACCCCCCCCCCCUUCUUUUUUCCGUUGAAAAUUUAAAUACUUUUGCAACGUGAAAUGCGUCUUGAUCAAAACUAAUAAACACACGCGGACGCGCGCGCGCGCCCCGGCACCAAUCCGUAAUUGUGCGCACAAAUACAGAACGGACAAUAAUUCGUAGCAAGCGCGUACGUAUUAUUUUGCAAUGUCUCAACAACAACAACAACAAAACACGACAUUACCACCGCUCAUUCUUCCGAUUUCCAGCUAAGCUCGGCGCGCUUAACUACAGGAUUGGAACACACCAUAAAAGUUGAGGUCUUUCAAGUGGGCGCCCAUCUGUGCAUAUUCCGUUUACAAAGCGUGCGGGUAUUUGUCACAGCACGGAAUGUUGCAAUUCUGACGUGAAUUCAAACUCAGUGGCGUGGUCCUUUCGCCUGUACCGCCCAUACACACAAACACAAGCACGCGCGCGCGCAUAGACACAAAGACAAAGAUCCCCCGUAUGGCCUUAACGGACUGUUGGGGCAAGCGCUGUUAGCGAGCACCUAUGAAGGUCCGUAACGGCACACGAAGGAGUGGGUGGCCAGCACCACGCCCGACCGCCUUUGACACCCCAGUGGCGAUGUUUACACACCGCACCAGGUACUCAUUUGAGGCUCAGUUGACCUAGGGGAGGCCCAGGACCGCAUAUACAUACAUCCAUAGAUGCACACGUGCACAGACACCCACAAAGACACAGGUACGAACACACACAGGUAAAGACACCAAUACACAUACGAACACACGUAGACAUACCAACACAUAGACGUACUAACAUCCGUACGUAUACGCAAACAAAAACAGACACGGACACACGGACAGACACAUACACACAAACACACAGGCAUAUACACACACACACACGCCCUUGUGAGACACGUUCUUGGACAGUCGUGAUAUUCACUGCAAUUACUCUUUGCCACGAUACCGUUGGCGACUUUUCUGUGGAUUUUUGGCAAAUCUUUUGUUUGGAAUUGCGAGGCAGUCAAAUUCGGACGAAGCCACUUAUAUCAACUCGUAUGGAGGAGAAACAAAUAUCAUAGCGUGCAUAUCAGACAUUUAAAUGCUGUAUAAUUAUUGUUAAUUACAGUCCAAUAUGGAUAACUUUAAAAGUAUGUUUGUGGAAUUCACGCCAUUGCUUGGUUUGCUAGAUGUGUAUCUAUUCUAUACCCCGCGGGUUCAAGUGGACUCGAUAACGGAAGGAACAUGCUGAUACAUGAACAUGUUUUUGCAUCAUACAAAAUGUUUGCAUAAUAGGAUCGAAAAUUAAAUUUUUUGUUGCAAUAUUUUUUCCCUAUAAAAAAUCAACAACACUGUCGCUGCUGGGGGAUAUUGUUUCCCGACGUAUCAAGUGCACCAAGCAGUGUGUUAUUAUUACACUAUAUAUAUCUUGCUUUUGUAAGUAUAUCAAUCCCAUAUUACGAAUUACGUUGUCGCCAAUGAACACCCUUUCAUUCAUUAAGCCGACAGUUCAUCGCACACGUGAAUGUCGUCGUGGAUUAAGCGUUUCCCACAAUUCGAAGUUUCUUCUUACGAAUAUUAUUCCUUUCUUACAAAAACGUUCGCCAUUCGUGUCUUCUUUUGAAAGCAACAACUUAAAAACUACAAAAAAAAUCACGCUUUCCGGGCUAAAACAUAAUGCCAUGCUCCAUGUGCGUUUUGUCUUCUCGCGAGCUGGGGGCAAUGAAUAGCGCUUCGUCAAUUAUAACUCGGACAGCCAAUUAAGAACUCCACUGAUUUAUGCAGUAACAAUCAAUGUAAGGUGAAAGACAGUACCACCGAUUCAUCCUUCUGCUUAUAGCCAAUGCUGCAAUACUUGUGCCUUCAGACUCGCGAAUGAAUCGCGUUUGUGUUCGCUUCUCUUCAUCAACAGUCGCGAGCUUCUCAACUUUGUUGUUGUUGUUGGCGCAACUUAUCAAGAUGCGCAUUCGGUAUCAUUAUCAUCAUCAUUGGCAGCAACUGAGCUCCACAAGUCCCAUGGCUAUCCCUUCGACUGAGACGGAGGUUGACGCUUUAUUGUUUUUUGUGUUUCCGAAUGUAACUGUCAUCAGAUGUUAACAGAGGGGUGAAUUCAUUUCAGACAUCGCGUUAGUCAACAGCACACUGAACACGGUAAGCGUCACUUAAUGUUGCCGAAAACGAAACGUAUGCAGUAGACUGACUUGUAGCCCUCACUCAGAUCAAUGCCUGGUAUUCAGAGCCGAAAGAUAAGGGUCAUAUCCCGAAACGUUAUAUACUUUUAAGUUAUAAGGUUGUGUUAAUGUUCUGAGUACUGUAUUGUUUCUCUAGUGGUGAUUGUGUAUUCGAAUCACUGUUAACAGGAGUCCUUUCUUUGUUGUUGUUGUGUGAUGUUGUUUUUGUUGUGUGAUGUUGUUGUUUGAUGUUGUUGUUUGAUGUUGUUAUCCACUCAGCCACUGGAAUAUCACGAAACUCCGAAUGGAAGGGCGCAAAAUGACCACCACCAGGACUACCACCACCACCACCACCAACCACCACACGUCAUGAGUUUGGUGAGUCAAGGAGUAUUGGAGUCUGUGCCCUCUGGUUGCCUGGGUGAAAAGUGGAGGAGUUGUGUCCGUGUCCAAUCCUGGCCCAGCCUGGCUCCAAAACCCAAGAAAUGGAAACGGAAAGUCCCUGGAAGCCUCUUUGGCUGUGGAAGCAUUUUAUUGCAAGCAUCUGUAGCUGGCACAAGGCGUUGCAACAACAACAGCAACACAACGAUGAAAGGAACAAUCGCAGACGUGUAAUCAUACGUAGUGUGCAGUGUUCCGCGGUCUACGCGCAAAUAAAAUUGGGAGCCUGCUUCGCGAGUGGCGAAUAAUAUGACCUCUUUGGCGUUCUGCAGUCGAGGGAUAACUUUUCACGCCAUUGUUAGCCGCCUCCAGGAGAAACAAAGACGGCUCUGCUUCCCAGAGACCGCGAAAAGAAAUGUAAUUCAGUGAAACCAUUUUGGAUUCUUGACUGACUGCAUCAACCAUGCCACUGUUCGGUGCACAUUUGUUAUUCCAGGGUUUGUGAAGGCAUAUUCCCAGCCAUGCAGGCCAAGCUGAUGUAGGCAUUCUAUUCAGAUGCUGCUUGAGAAGCAUACCAUUCAUCUCCGCAUGCCCUCUGACAAAAGGCCCAAUUCAGUAUUGUGUACUUUUUGCCAUUUGGUCCUCAGGCACAGUCCAAGUUAUUUGUUUCAAAACUGCCAGGAAUGGAGAGGGGAGGGGGCGGGAAAUAAGUUUAUAUUAUUGUAAAAUUUCAUAUUUAAUCUUUUUUUACUUGGGAAAAAAAUCGCUUACAUUGUACUCUGCUGAGUGAAGGAAAUUACAUUUUCGGUCAAAAUAUUGUUUGCACUUGUACAGGUAUCAAAAAAAAGCGGGUCACAAUGCCGCUUGAUUUAAUGGCAUUGUGCGUUUGCAUUUUAACACAAAAGCAGAGAGGAAUACAAUUAGAAACGCUUUCAGGAUUUGUGUGCCUGCAAACGCUGGCUGGUAACACUUUUGACGUCAUAAGAUAUAAAAAGGCUGACACAGACCACUUUUGUGCCAGGUUAGUGUUGGGCACGUCGUACUAAUUGAAUUAUACGUACUCAGUGGGUUUAAACAAAAACGCGUCACUUAAAUGGUUUUGCAUCUCAUUAAUUUCUGCUGAUUCCAUUUUGUUAUGGUCACCAUGCAAACACAUUCGAAUGUGCAGCUAAUUAUAUUAAGGCUGUUUAAAAAAUAUAUUAAAGUGAUUGAAAUUGCUAUGUUGGACAAAAUAUCGUUGUGCUCUGCUGCAAAGUACCACAUUGUCCAUUUCUCAUAUCAUAAAACAAUCAUGUGCAGCCCUUCGCCAAUCCACUGCUGGAUGAAAAUCUCCACGUGGCUUGUAAAUCUUUGGGUGUUGUUUGACCAUACUUUAUUGCCACUCUGGUCAGUGCAGAUUGGUGAAGAGGAGGGCCCAUGGCCAUUCGCGAUUUUACUAGCCGAUCGUGUUAGAUGUAGCUGGGAAUCAAACUCGGGUUUCUGGGUUUCAUGGCACAGCGCAAACCACUGACUUGCUCUCCGUCGCGUUACUCACGUGAAGCCCACUUGUUCAGAUCUCGUCUACGGUGCUUUCUUGAUGUUGCCAACACGCUGUUUAUUUCAAAUGAAUGGUUAAUUUUAGGCACGAACGUUGCACAUGAUUAUGACAGCGUAGUCAAACUGUGCUGCAUCCUGCCACUACAAAUUAAUAGGCUCUAUAACCACAGGACAGGACAGGACGCACAUCCUGUUGUAAAUGCCUCUUCUUUUUUUUUUUGGAAUUAAUAAAACUCUCUUUUUUGCGCGCGCUGGCGGCGGCUAACACUGCACCAUCGGUAAUGCAUACUCAGAACGGGUUGAUGAGUACUUGCAGCUCACCUGCGUGCGACGCUCCCAUAUCAACAGCAAACUCCACUUUUUUUUGUUCAGCUUCCUCCCAACAUAUCAUCAAAAAGAUAGCUGAAUUACACCCAAGUAUCAAUAUCGCUCGUGACGUACGAUUGUAUUUAUACACACACGUGCCUUGCCAUUAAAGGCGUGCCGUGACUCGUUAGUCGAUAGCAGCCCCAAGUUUCCCCUUGGCUGCAAGUUUAUCGACCCCGGGGCGGGGGGGGCUGUCUUCUCCCCCUGGACAUCGCCUCGUCUCCGGCUCCGCCGGGGUCCAUCGCUGCCUCACCGUCUGGGUGCCACCGUGCCCAGCGCUAUUUAUUAUUCAAUGAAUAUGAAGCGCUUGCGUAGUGCCAGUGACGCCAGGACGAGCUCUGCGCCCAGCCUGUCUGCUCUCUGUCCCGACUCAUCUCCUCGGCCUGAGCUGCUCAAGAGAAUUUUCUGUGUCUUGACCUCUGAAAGUAUUUCAACUUGCUUUGCGUAACUAGCAGCUUGCAUGUGAUCAGAUACCAAUGCAGGCAACACGCACACACGCGCACGCACAACAAUUAAAAAAACGUAUUUUAAUCGCAGAUGCGUCAAGCGAUGUGAUGGUACCGCUCAGAUAGAAAAAAAGUUUAAGCGUUAGCAAAUUUGGUGAUAUGUAAAAAACAUGCGAAUGUGAAAUAUGAUUUUCUGACAUGCAAUUGUUUGUAUGCAAUUUAAAUAUUGCCAUUCCAUGCCAUUGACACAUUACAUACAUUACAGGCAUAUACAGUCAGUGCAUAAAAAUAUAUAUGUCCAAGACACUUGAUAACUGCAAAUUUAACCCUAAGCCAUCUGCUGAAGAAAUCUGAUCCUUUUAGGUCAUUAUCUGCCUCCGCUACCUCCCAAGCUUUCAAAGGUUUUGAAAGGACGAGGGCAACAGCGGCCGGCAGAAAAGACCAGACUUUUUGCAUAAAUCUGCCAGCAAUGCCUUGAAAAGUGCAUUAGAGAGCCCGAUUAUUGAUGGCUCUGUAUUUACCGAUGCCAUCAAACAAACAACUCCCCCCCCCCAGUCGUAGAUCUGCUCAGUCUCCUGCUGGAUAUUUUUUUUGUUCCUUGCCAGUGGCCUGAGAAAGGUCGGGAGGGCAGGCUUGGGUGGAAUGGCUCGGACAGAGACACUCAUCUGCUUUGCACACACAAACGGCACGCAUAAUGAAACGCACCUGGAUACGGACGCUUGGCCGAAUGCCUCUUGGGCAGAUUUUCUUUUUUGGAGGCAUCAUCAUAACAGUUUUCCGUACAAUGCGCUGAAACAUUACGAGCGUGCGGACAGUGUGUUGAUACCCAGCCACCGUUGACCCAUACAAGGCGAUAAAAGUGAGAAAAACACCACUACCCCCGCCACCACCACCACACAAAAAAACUCAAGUGAAAGAAAUGUGAUCAAUGAGAUAACACAAAACCCCCUGAAAGUUUCCAUUACUAAGUAAUCACAAAUAUUUAUAACAAUUGAGUGGAAUAAAUUGCAACGCUCACUCCCCAUGGUGAUUUGAUUAAUUGCCACGAUGUAGCGUCACGAUUAUAGGCAUGCCACUGAAUGGUGGUUGCAGAGGAGACUUGAACCAAUUACUUACAACGUAUGCGAUUCGAACGACAUCACUUAUCAUAUAUAUACUAGCGGGAAGUAUCCGGCGUUGCCCAGGGGAAAAAUAUAUUUCGAAACUUAUCUUAAAACCAUAACAUAUACAUACACAAGUACUAAGCUAUUGCGUUCCGUUUGUCUGUCCAUUUGUCCAUCAACAAAAUUAUAAGAGGCUUGCAGAAGUCCUGAAUCCAAAAGUAAUAGAAAGUGGCAGGUAAAUAGCACACACACACAAGUACAAUUCUUUUACAUAUUAGAAUCCAGAUUGUAAGCUCAUUCCUUGAGACCUGCUUUUGUGUUGAGUUGACCUUCCUCCGCACUUCCCAUCAGCACGGUUAGGCUACGUAACGGUGCGAAAGAAUGUCAACAUACGUACAAUUCGAUGCACAUAUCGUGGGAUUAAUAAUUGAUAAUAAUCUACCUUAAUCGACGAAUUGCAGCUGUUCCACUCCCAAUAACAAUGUGACGUUCUCCUGUAGAACCUUCAGCUCGGCGUUGAAUGUUCUAAUCUUGUCAACCAGGACUGAGACUGCAACCCUCGACAUUUCAGUGGCGGCAGAUCGAACCCUCUGUUAGUUUGUUUUAUUUGCAGCCCUUUGUCAAUCCACUGCUUGAUGAAGGCCCCCCCAUGUCGUGUCUCUUCCACACUCCAGAAAAAUUUUUACAAAAUAAGUUAUCAGACUGUAUUUGGACCUUUAAACAUUUAAUAAAAUUCUGCUUAGGCAUCAACAAAUUAAAAUGUAUUGCUUGAUUUUACAAUCCAAUGCAACACAUCUACAACAAUCCCACUACGAAACAGCUGUCUUAAAAUCUGAAUCUUUAUUUGAAGCAUUCGAGCACACAUUUUUGUUGAAGAAUAAAAAAAAAAUUCCGUGAAUAAAACAGUUGCGAUAGUCUGGAGUGUAUAAUCUCCACUAUCUUCACAAAACACCAAGCUUAAUCAAGACCGUGUAGUCACUCAACCAUUAUACACUCACCUUAUUUUCCUCUUUUUAACCAUUGUGUAAGAACCUUAUCCCUUAGUCACAUGGUUACUUUGCAUUUAAAACGUAAAGUAUCUACAACACGAACCACAAAAAUCAGUUAACUACAAGAAAAGAUGAACGCAUACACCUCGAUGUAAUCCAGGUGAUGGAGUUCAUUGUUUGUUUGUGAUUCGGUCAGAUGGUGGUGACAAUGACGACAUCACAGCUGUUAAAAAUAGAACAUUUGCAGGAAUAAUUAGAGAAAGGCAAGUUUGAUUUCUUGGGCAUUGGUUGGGAAAACAAGAGAUUGAAUAUAAUGUUUUGUCUUGAAAACUUAUAGGUACACAAAGUCGGGGAAGACAGCAAAUGAAAUGCACAAGCAAGUUGAGCAUAUGGAUGCAGCUGGGGGUAUCCAAUGCAAAGUUCUUGGGUAAACAGCAUGGACAGAACUAAAUGGAAACUCAUGAUCGCUGAUGUCUUGGAGAGAAGAUAGGGCACACAGAGAGAGAUUAACGUUACUCUGUUUCGCACGGUUGGCAACUCUAAUUAGCAAGGUUGCCUUCAUACAGUGCGAAAGAAGUUCAACAUACGAAUCUUUGUCUAAAACAGAGGUAACUAAUCUACUCGUUUUCUCUCUGUAGUGUCUCAUCGGACUGGAUGCAAAAUUGUUUAACUGGUUUAUUAAACCUAUGAUUGCAAAUAACGUGCACAUCAGGUUUUCAAUAUAUACCAAACCGACUUUCACAGAGAAUCCCAGAAUGUGCUACUGUCGUUUGUACAAAUGAUGAAAUGUAAUCCAUUUCAGUGCAAAAGUACUGUAUGCGAUAGCAAACCAGAUAAACGAAAACCUUAUAAAUAUUACAUUGAAUAUGUUUAAAACAGACACGUGUAUGUAAAAUAAAUUACACUCGUUGUGUUAAUCACAAACGCAGAUUGUUUUAUUUACAAGUAUAAUGUUUGUCGAAAACUAUUUGUAUUGUGUACAUUUAGCGGGAACAGCAGCCGCAUUGUGUAAUCUAAUGUGUGCGCACAAGCUGUGGAAUA